GACGAACGCUGGCGGCGUGCUUAACACAUGCAAGUCGAACGGAAAGGCCUUUUCUGAGGUACUCGAGUGGCGGACGGGCGAGUAACACGCGGGUGAUUUGCCUUGCACUCUGGGAGAAGCCUGUGAAACUGGGUCUAGUAACGGCUAGGAACGCGCUUCAGCUUGUGGGGUGGGAAGGUUUUUCGGUUGGGGAUGGGCCCGCGGCCUAUCAGCUUGUUGGUGGGGGAGUGGCUUACCAUGGCGGCGGCGGUAAGCCGGACUGAGCGGGUGGCGGUCAACGUUGGGAUGGGGUACGGGCCAGAAUCCCUCGGGGGGCAACAAGGGGGAAUAAUUCACAAUGGGCGCGAGCCUGAUGCAGCGAAGCCGCGGGGGGGAUGAAGGGCUUCCGGUUGUAAACUCCCUUCGCCAGGGAAGAAACGGUGUGUGACGGUACCUGGUGAAGAAGCACCGGCUAACUACGUG
Molecule: ribosomal RNA, 462 nt
Filed under: uncultured bacterium
Lineage: Bacteria
Description: partial 16S ribosomal RNA
Rfam family: Bacterial small subunit ribosomal RNA
Source: RNAcentral